This 406-nucleotide ribosomal RNA is filed under the name uncultured bacterium. RNAcentral describes it as "partial 16S ribosomal RNA". It matches the Rfam family "Bacterial small subunit ribosomal RNA", at positions 30 to 526 of the family's 1533-position model. The record is from RNAcentral.
AUUGAACGCUGGCGGCAGGCCUAACACAUGCAAGUCGAACGAGUGGCGGACGGGUGAGUAAUGUCUGGGAAACUGCCCGAUGGAGGGGGAUAACUACUGGAAACGGUAGCUAAUACCGCAUACAAUCGGAUGGGCCCAGAGGGGAUUGGCUGGUGGGUGGGGUAAGGGCUCACCUAGGCGACGAUCCCUAGCUGGCAUGAGAGGAUGACAAGCCACACUGGAACUGAGACACGGUCCAGACUCCUACGGGAGGUAGUAUUGGGGAAUAUUGCACACUGGGCGCAAGCCUGAUGCAGCCAUGCCGCGUGUAUGAAGAAGGCCUUCGGGUUGUAAAGUACUUUCAGCGAGGAGGCGUUACUCGCAGAAGAAGCACCGGCUAACUCCGUGCCAGCAGCCGCGGUAAUAC